CCUAGGGUGACCCUUCAUUUCCCGGCCGCUCCGCUCAGACUCCUCAAGCUUCCUGCUGCCUCCAAUGCAAUGGUGGAGGAUGAGCUCCACUAAGGAACACAUCCGGCUCACAGAUCUGGCUGGCAUUGCUCUGUCUUGUAACAGCAGCUGCUUUCCCGGCUCUAAGCUCCAAGUGCUAUCACCUUCAGUUGACCAGCUGCGUCUUUGUCCCUCCCCACAUCACUUUCUGCAGCCAGGGCAGCACUCCUGGACAGGAAGCCAUGAACUUGCAAUUCCACCAUUUCUUCCAGUUGCUUUUGGAGAAUUCAGUUUCAAAGUGCGAGUUGAGGAUAACAUUCUGGCUUUCAGAAAUCAUAAAUAAUGAACGGCACAUUUGAGUCAUUAUCGGUGGUUAUCCCUCUUAGAGUCCUCUUUGGUGUGCUCCGACCUAAGGCACCCGUGGAGAAGGAGAAGGAGAUCUCAAGAGGAAAAAUCAAUGCAGGAACAAAGAAACUCUUGGGUCUAGUGAAGAGAGACUGGAUCUUGCUAGGCGAGUCAGGGAUGGGGAGCUGGAACUGGGAAAUGUUAAUUUGCAAGGGUCCCCUGUGUAGCAAGAGGAAACUGCACAUCCCUCUAGCCUGAACUCUGUCUUCAGAUCCCAGCUUCCUACACUCUCACCUGGAGAACUCCCCAAGUUCUUUCUUCUCCUUCAACAUUCCCAACAUCUGGGCUUCCUCUGGGUCCUGGUUUCAGAUGAUUUUCACAUGUCCAUUUCUUGCUUCUACCCUGGGUGAGUUAAAUUUGGAUGACAAUACCCAGAUCUUACAGUUUGAAGGAGAAUUAAAUGGAAUAAUAUGUGCAGAAGUGUUUCGUCAACAGCAAAGUGCAUUUAAAGGCAGAAUGUGCAUGUGAGACAGCCAAGUGUAAAGGGGUCCCCAGAGAAACUCCAACCGACCUGCACACUGGAAGGAGUGUGCACUGGGGUGGAGCCUCGGGAAGUUCCUGCCCUUUGCCGUAGGGAAGGAGCCUGGCCUCUCCUGUUCAGAGAUGGAAGCAGGAACUCAAUCUGUGAGGUGGGAAGCCUGUACUUGCAGGACUCUCACUCUGCUGAGUCCCUGUUUCCAGUUUUUCCCAUUUUUGCCCAAUAAAUUCUUU
Molecule: long non-coding RNA, 1134 nt
Filed under: Homo sapiens (human)
Lineage: Eukaryota; Metazoa; Chordata; Mammalia; Primates; Hominidae
Description: non-protein coding lnc-ICE1-1:1
Source: RNAcentral